RNAcentral lists this ribosomal RNA (497 nucleotides) under uncultured bacterium. RNAcentral's name for it is "partial 16S ribosomal RNA". It matches the Rfam family "Bacterial small subunit ribosomal RNA", at positions 28 to 507 of the family's 1533-position model. The record is from RNAcentral.
GGUGAACGCUGGCGGCGUGCCUAAUACAUGCAAGUCGAGCGAACAGACGAGGAGCUUGCUCCUCUGAUGUUAGCGGCGGACGGGUGAGUAACACGUGGAUAACCUACCUAUAAGACUGGGAUAACUUCGGGAAACCGGAGCUAAUACCGGAUAAUAUAUUGAACCGCAUGGUUCAAUAGUGAAAGACGGUCUUGCUGUCACUUAUAGAUGGAUCCGCGCUGCAUUAGCUAGUUGGUAAGGUAACGGCUUACCAAGGCGACGAUGCGUAGCCGACCUGAGAGGGUGAUCGGCCACACUGGAACUGAGACACGGUCCAGACUCCUACGGGAGGCAGCAGUAGGGAAUCUUCCGCAAUGGGCGAAAGCCUGACGGAGCAACGCCGCGUGAGUGAUGAAGGUCUUCGGAUCGUAAAACUCUGUUAUUAGGGAAGAACAAAUGUGUAAGUAACUAUGCACGUCUUGACGGUACCUAAUCAGAAAGCCACGGCUAACUACGUG